Molecule: ribosomal RNA, 253 nt
Filed under: uncultured bacterium
Lineage: Bacteria
Description: partial 16S ribosomal RNA
Rfam family: Bacterial small subunit ribosomal RNA
Source: RNAcentral
UACGGGAGUGGCAAGCGUUAUCCGGAAUUAUUGGGCGUAAAGCGUCCGCAGGCGGUCUUACAAGUCUGUCGUUAAAGCGUGGAGCUUAACUCCAUUUCGGCGAUGGAAACUGUAAGACUAGAGUGUGGUAGGGGCAGAGGGAAUUCCCGGUGUAGCGGUGAAAUGCGUAGAUAUCGGGAAGAACACCAGUGGCGAAGGCGCUCUGCUGGGCCAUAACUGACGCUCAUGGACGAAAGCUAGGGGAGCGAAAGGG